UGAGGAAUAUUGGUCAAUGGGGGCAACCCUGAACCAGCCAAGUCGCGUGAAGGAUGAAGGUCUUAUGGAUUGUAAACUUCUUUUAUACAGGAAUAAAUUGGGGGACGUGUCCCCUUUUGCAUGUACUGUAUGAAUAAGGAUCGGCUAACUCCGUGCCAGCAGCCGCGGUAAUACGGAGGAUCCGAGCGUUAUCCGGAUUUAUUGGGUUUAAAGGGUGCGCAGGCGGGAUGUUAAGUCGGCGGUGAAAUUUUGCAGCUCAACUGUAAAAGUGCCUUCGAUACUGGCUUACUUGAGUGUGGAUGAAGUAGGCGGAAUUUGUGGUGUAGCGGUGAAAUGCUUAGAUAGCACGAGGAACUCCGAUUGCGCAGGCAGCUUACUAAGCCACAACUGACGCUCAUGCACGAAGGCGUGGGGAUCAAACA
RNAcentral lists this ribosomal RNA (422 nucleotides) under uncultured bacterium. RNAcentral's name for it is "bacterial SSU rRNA". It matches the Rfam family "Bacterial small subunit ribosomal RNA", at positions 355 to 774 of the family's 1533-position model. The record is from RNAcentral.